This is a long non-coding RNA of Carassius auratus (goldfish), 388 nucleotides long. RefSeq lists it as uncharacterized. NCBI's taxonomy places the organism in Eukaryota, Metazoa, Chordata, Actinopteri, Cypriniformes, Cyprinidae. The transcript is spliced from 3 exons. The record is from RefSeq and is a predicted model, not a curated record.
GCUUCAUCUUCCUCUCCUCCUCCAGCUGCCACGGAGGAAACAGCGGCCCGAGAUGGGAGGCGGAAAGAAAACUCAGGUCUAAGUGUGGUUUCAGAUUCAAGCCUGUCUCAUCUCCGUCUCUGAGGGACGCAAAGACGUCUGUCCAUCCCGUCUGCCCGAGCGUCUCCUCUCCAUUCACAAAAAACACAGCCGAGCAUCCAACUACGAGCCCCAAACAACGGCACACGCGGACAGACGGAGAGCAGCAUCCAGACGAAGACGAGACACAUUCAAACCUCGACUGAUAUUCUCUUGUCUGUUUGGUGACCUUGUGAUGUCUCAAUUCAGGUAUGGUCAGAUGUUUCUUUCUAUCUUUUUUCUUUCUUUCUAGUUUACCAUGUCAAGCAUC